This 285-nucleotide small RNA is filed under the name Hydrocarboniphaga effusa AP103. RNAcentral's name for it is "5' ureB small RNA". It matches the Rfam family "5' ureB small RNA". Lineage: Bacteria; Pseudomonadati; Pseudomonadota; Gammaproteobacteria; Nevskiales; Nevskiaceae. The record is from Rfam by way of RNAcentral.
UCGUCGACCUGCUGCGGGCAGAUGAAGUGAAUGUGCGUGUCGAUCGCGCCCGCGGUGAGGAUCUUGCCUUCGCCGGCGAUCACCUCGGUGCCCGGGCCGACGAUGAUGGUCACGCCCGGCUGCGUGUCCGGGUUGCCGGCCUUGCCGAUCGCGACGAUGCGCCCGUCCUUCAAUCCGACGUCGGCCUUGACGAUGCCCCAGUGAUCGAGAAUCACCGCGUUGGUGACGACGGUGUCGACCGCGCCCUGCGCACGCGUGAUCUGCGACUGGCCCAUGCCGUCGCGA